AUUGAACGCUGGCGGCAUGCUUUACACAUGCAAGUCGAACGGCAGCGGGGGCUUCGGCCUGCCGGCGAGUGGCGAACGGGUGAGUAACGCAUCGGAACGUGCCCAUGUCGUGGGGGAUAACGUAUCGAAAGGUACGCUAAUACCGCAUACGUCCUGAGGGAGAAAGCGGGGGAUUCUUCGGAACCUCGCGCGAUUGGAGCGGCCGAUGUCGGAUUAGCUAGUAGGUGAGGUAAAGGCUCACCUAGGCGACGAUCCGUAGCGGGUCUGAGAGGAUGAUCCGCCACACUGGGACUGAGACACGGCCCAGACUCCUACGGGAGGCAGCAGUGGGGAAUUUUGGACAAUGGGCGCAAGCCUGAUCCAGCCAUGCCGCGUGAGUGAAGAAGGCCUCGGUGUAAAGCCUGUCUAUGGAGAAGUCAGUGACGUACCAUAGAGGAGCACGGCAACUACGUAGCCAGCAGCCGCGGUAAAAUAAGCGUACU
RNAcentral lists this ribosomal RNA (482 nucleotides) under uncultured bacterium. RNAcentral's name for it is "bacterial SSU rRNA". It matches the Rfam family "Bacterial small subunit ribosomal RNA", at positions 29 to 536 of the family's 1533-position model. The record is from RNAcentral.